GAUGAACGCUGGCGGCGUGCCUAAUACAUGCAAGUCGAGCGAACAGACGAGGAGCUUGCUCCUCUGACGUUAGCGGCGGACGGGUGAGUAACACGUGGAUAACCUACCUAUAAGACUGGGAUAACUUCGGGAAACCGGAGCUAAUACCGGAUAAUAUAUUGAACCGCAUGGUUCAAUAGUGAAAGACGGUUUUGCUGUCACUUAUAGAUGGAUCCGCGCCGCAUUAGCUAGUUGGUAAGGUAACGGCUUACCAAGGCGACGAUGCGUAGCCGACCUGAGAGGGUGAUCGGCCACACUGGAACUGAGACACGGUCCAGCCUCCUACGGGAGGCAGCCGUAGGGACUCUUCCGCAAUGGGCGAAAGCUUGACGGAGCAACGCCGCGUGAGUGAUGAAGGUCUUCGGAUCGUAAAACUCUGUUAUUAGGGAAGAACAAAUGUGUAAGUAACUAUGCACGUCUUGACGGUACCUAAUCAGAAAGCCACGGCUAACUACGUG
This 497-nucleotide ribosomal RNA is filed under the name uncultured bacterium. RNAcentral's name for it is "partial 16S ribosomal RNA". It matches the Rfam family "Bacterial small subunit ribosomal RNA", at positions 28 to 507 of the family's 1533-position model. The record is from RNAcentral.